Molecule: long non-coding RNA, 229 nt
Filed under: Brassica rapa (field mustard)
Lineage: Eukaryota; Viridiplantae; Streptophyta; Magnoliopsida; Brassicales; Brassicaceae
Description: long non-coding RNA (BRAP_LNC002448)
Source: RNAcentral
AAAAGGAAAAAACCUAAAUGACCAGAACACUAAACGCUGUGUUUAAUAACAUAGCCAAACAUUAAUAGAACUGAAAUCAUACCGAAUAAUUUAAAAAUCAACGCGAAAACACAAUCACCAAACCAAACCUAGACGACUGUGGGCCCCAUUAUCAUUAAAAAACGCUGAUGUGGGCACUCUCAGAAGAGAGGAAAGUGUCCCAUUAUAUAUAAGAUUUCUUGAAUUGAAU